CCCUUAGAUGUUCUGGGCCGCACGCGUGCUACACUGAGUGGAUCAGCGGGUCAGGUUGCGCGAAAGCGUUUCCUAAUCUUUAAAUCCGGUCGUGAUGGGGAUUGACGGUUGCAAUUUUCUGUCAUGAACGAGGAAUACCUUGUAAGCGCGGGUCAUCAUCCCGCGCUGAAUACGUCCCUGCCCUUUGUACACACCGCCCGUCGCUCCUACCGAUUGAGUGGUCCGGUGAGGCUUUGGGAUCUGAGCGGAAAGAGCGUUUCGCUGUUUCUGCUCGGAAAACUCAGUCGAACCUUAUCAUUUAGAGGAAGGAGAAGUCGUAACA
Molecule: ribosomal RNA, 322 nt
Filed under: uncultured eukaryote
Lineage: Eukaryota
Description: partial 18S ribosomal RNA
Rfam family: Eukaryotic small subunit ribosomal RNA
Source: RNAcentral